UACGUAGGGUGCGAGCGUUAAUCGGAAUUACUGGGCGUAAAGCGUGCGCAGGCGGUUGUGCAAGACAGAUGUGAAAUCCCCGGGCUCAACCUGGGAACUGCAUUUGUGACUGCACGGCUCGAGUGCGGCAGAGGGGGAUGGAAUUCCGCGUGUAGCAGUGAAAUGCGUAGAUAUCUGGAGGAACACCGGUGGCGAAGGCGGCGACCUGGUCCAAUACUGACACUCAUACACGAAAGCGUGGGGAUCAAACAGG
RNAcentral lists this ribosomal RNA (253 nucleotides) under uncultured bacterium. RNAcentral describes it as "partial 16S ribosomal RNA". It matches the Rfam family "Bacterial small subunit ribosomal RNA", at positions 524 to 776 of the family's 1533-position model. The record is from RNAcentral.